UACGUAGGGUGCGAGCGUUAAUCGGAAUUACUGGGCGUAAAGCGCGCGCAGGCGGUCCUUUAAGUCUGAUGUGAAAGCCCACGGCUCAACCGUGGAGGGUCAUUGGAAACUGGGGGACUUGAGUACAGAAGAGGAAAGCGGAAUUCCACGUGUAGCGGUGAAAUGCGUAGAGAUGUGGAGGAACACCAGUGGCGAAGGCGGCUUUCUGGUCUGUAACUGACGCUGAGGCGCGAAAGCGUGGGGAGCAAACAGG
RNAcentral lists this ribosomal RNA (253 nucleotides) under uncultured bacterium. RNAcentral describes it as "partial 16S ribosomal RNA". It matches the Rfam family "Bacterial small subunit ribosomal RNA", at positions 524 to 776 of the family's 1533-position model. The record is from RNAcentral.